GAGUUUGAUUCUGGCUCAGGAUGAACGCUGGCGGCGUGCUUAACACAUGCAAGUCGAACGGGCGAAUUAUAUCGGAGGUCUUCGGGCCGAAGAGAUAAUAAGCUAGUGGCGGACGGGUGCGUAACGUGUGGGUAAUCUGCCUUUGUCAUAGGAAUAACUGCUUGAAAAAGUAGCUAAUACCAAAUAACAUAUCGUAUAGGCAUCUAUAAGAUAUCAAAGAGAAAUCGGACAAAGAUGAGCCCGCAUCUGAUUAGCUGGUUGGUAGGGUAAAAGCCUACCAAGGCGACGAUCAGUAGCCGGCCUGAGAGGGUGAACGGCCACAUUGGAACUGAGACACGGUCCAAACUCCUACGGGAGGCAGCAGUGGGGAAUAUUGCACAAUGGGGGGAACCCUGAUGCAGCAACGCCGCGUGAGUGAAGAAGGCUUUCGAGUCGUAAAACUCUGUU
RNAcentral lists this ribosomal RNA (447 nucleotides) under Filifactor villosus. RNAcentral's name for it is "bacterial SSU rRNA". It matches the Rfam family "Bacterial small subunit ribosomal RNA", at positions 9 to 437 of the family's 1533-position model. Lineage: Bacteria; Bacillati; Bacillota; Clostridia; Peptostreptococcales; Filifactoraceae. The record is from RNAcentral.